Long non-coding RNA from Rhagoletis zephyria (snowberry fruit fly), 204 nucleotides. RefSeq lists it as uncharacterized. NCBI's taxonomy places the organism in Eukaryota, Metazoa, Arthropoda, Insecta, Diptera, Tephritidae. The record is from RefSeq and is a predicted model, not a curated record.
GGAUUGAAAAAGUUGCGCUUGUUGGUGAUGAAUUUGCGGGGAGAUGUGCUGCGAUUAUUUUUAUGAAUGAAUUUACUUGGCCUUGAGAAAUGCGCGCAUGCGUUUGUGAAAGAAAUAGUUAUUAUUGUAUUUGAGUAUGCGUGUAAUUAUGUGCAUAUGUAUGUAUGCUGCCGUGAGUUGUACAUAUCCUGCAAAAAUUGUGCG